Molecule: long non-coding RNA, 5769 nt
Filed under: Brassica napus (rape)
Lineage: Eukaryota; Viridiplantae; Streptophyta; Magnoliopsida; Brassicales; Brassicaceae
Description: long non-coding RNA (BNAP_LNC008489)
Source: RNAcentral
UAUUGAGAUCAUGUAGCAUGAGUGGUUCCAAGUAGUUACGACCAUGGAGAUAUAACUUGUUCUUCUCCAGGAUUGCUACGGGUAAGGGCAUGAGACCGCAUCUGUCGAACAAAGGAAAAGUAUUGGUGAGAUCUAUAGAACACAUUUGCUUCCAUGUCUUUGAAGAAGAAUCCAAGGACCAUAUGACUUGCGUUGGCCACGUUUUCUCGGAAGCGCACAAACAGUGAUCAAGGAUGAACAAGACUACGUUACUUGGGAGAGGUGCAUCAUCAGCAAAAGGAGCUUUACAGAUGACUUGGAAAGUUUCAGUGUGGAGAUCGAAAGACAAAACCUUUGUUUCUACACAGUCGGUGAGCCAAUAGAGUGACCCGUCAAAAUAGACUGGCUUCUGGAAUCUGAGAAUAGGAUAAGGAGAAGAAGCGACAAGGUUCCUCCAGGAGUGGGUGCUAAAGUCGAAAACUUCACAAGUGGUAACAUUGUCUAGUCCAAAUUCGGAUGAAUUAUACAACCAAACAGGCUUGUAAGUACCACUCAACUUGUCUUUACCAAAUCCAAGCUCAUAAGUUAGGUCGCCGCUGGCAAAGGGGGGUCCUUUGUCGAUGAUAAGGCAUUGCAGGGAGGAAAAAGGAAAACUCCGAUGCCAUCGAGUGGCCGGAUUCACCACGACGUUGGGUGUGUGAAUACAGAAGAAGCAAACCAGACCGUCGCAGCUACCAUAGCAAAGCAAGACGUUCGGAAAAGGGAACUUGACAGUACGGUAUAUGCAAGAAGAAGAAGAGCCCAAGGCAUGUUGAGCUACAUCAUCAGGAGGAUCCUCGUAAUAGGCUACGAAAAGGAGAUCAUGACCUCGUGAUUGCCUGCGAAGGUUCAACUGCCUUGACUGGAAACUAGGGGAAUCGAUUGUGAAUAUCCACUUCUUGGACACAGACCUGAAUCUCCGCAGAGAUUCCACGGGAAGUCUCUCGAGUAUGAGCUCUAUCACAUCGUGUGGUAGCACUUCCAAUUCCACACUCGAGCUGGAGCCACGUCUUCUCUUAUCAGAGCCAUGUCUUUUCAAAAUUGAGCCAUGUCUUCUUUUCAACAUUGUAUCUUGCCUCUCUCACCUUAUUGAUGAUCUGAGAGGGUCUUUAUAUAUGCAGAGCAGCCGACCUAUAAGCAUUGAAAAAGGAAACAUUUACAUUAUGAGAAAAGGAAUUUUCCAAAACUUUUUUCUCCCAGUCGAAUCUUAAUUAUCGAAAAUCUCAUCAAUUUGAAAUCAAAAUUAAUGAAUAAAAGCUAAACAUAAUCACCUCACGCCAUAGAUCGCAUCAAAUGAGAAUCGAUUUCUGAAUGAGGCUCUCACUAGAGGGAUAGGUCGCAUCGCAAUCCCAGAACAACGUAAUUAGUUAGUUUGCGGUUAAAAUUCCAUGUAUUUCAUACGGAUCUAUGGAUUUUUGAUGAAUAAUGAAUGAAAUAAUCGAAAGAAAACUUAUAACAGAAGGAUAGAAACAAAAUUGAGUGGCUGCGUGUACUUAGGGUUACAUGCGACGAAAUGUAGAAGAUGAAUAUGAAAAGACCAUUUUAACCUCAACUAAAACAGAAAAUAAAAGAAAAAAGAGGCAUUACACAUUUAGGACACUUUAUGGAGUUUAUUUACAUUUUAAGAUAGGCGUGGACAUUUUAUCCGGACCCAAAGACCCGACCCGAAAUCGACACGAAAAAACCCGGUUCGAAUAGGUACCGACCCGAUAAAAUUAUCCUAUCGGGUCUUGUUGCAGAGGAUCCGCGGAUCUUGGACCCGACCCGACCCAAACCCGAAACCCGAUAAGUACCUGAAUUAAUAAUGUAAAUUAAAUAAAAUGCAUCAAAGGAGAGUCAAAGAUAGGUUAUUUGUGUAGAGAACAUGGAGAUCAACCACUAAGAGACAACAAAUUGUUGUUGUAUAUCGCAUAGUUUAAUAUAUAUACUCAUUUUAAUAUAAUAAAAACACAAAUUUUGAAUAAAAUUUUGAAUAUUUUUGGAUAUAAAUAUUUUCAGAUAUUUUUUUGUAUUUUAAGGUCUUUUUUAGAUCGAACUCGACCCGAAACCAAACCAAAUCCGAACUGAUAAAUUCUAAUUACCCGAAUGGAUCUAACUAUCUAAGACCCGACCCGAUCCGGACCCGGCAUGAUCCGAACCGACCCGGAAUCGAAAAUUUGAAAUUACCCUAUCGGAUCCUAAACUUUUAGACCCGAAAUAUCCAGAUCCGAAAGGACCCGAUCCGAACCCGAUCCGACGACCCGAAUGUCCAAGCUUACUUUAAGACACAUCUUACUUAAAUAACACAUUCACGAUUUUCAAGAAGCUUUCUAGACAAAAAUAUCAUCUUCUCAACAAAACGAAGCUAUGGAAAAUCGUUGUUUAGUUGUUGUGUUUAGUUAAUAGUACGUAUUGUUAGCUAUUAGUUUUUUGUUAUUUUAAUUUAUUAUUAUUAUUCAUUUCAUUCAAUGUUUUUAUUUGAUUUUUCUUAAAAUUAAAAAUAUAUAAAAUAAAUAUAAUUAUUACAAUAAAUUGUAAUUUUUUCUACUACAUUUUAAAAUCCACUUUCAUAGAUAAUUUUUUUAUAUUAAAAUUAUAUAAAAUGUACGGACAUAAAAAAUAUGAACAUGAAUAGCUGAAAAAAUAAAAAACUCUUAUAUAUAAGUUAUAGUAGACAAUAGACGUGAAUUUAUUUUUUGUGGACAAGUUAUAAUAAAUAAUAUAUUGUUAAUUUUAUAUUAAACUUUUGUUUCAUGUUAAAUGAACACACAAUCAAAAUUGUUUUUACCGUUUUUCACAAAACAUAUAGUUUCUUGCUUGUUUCUAAUUUAAACCGGGUGUGACUGGUAACCAUCAAGGAACACUAUGAAUGAUUAGGAAAAGAAUGAAUAGGAAUAAAAUUUUGGGAACGAUGAGAAAUAAGGGUUCCUUAUCAAAAUUAACAAGGAACAAAUUUGCAUUAUAAUUCUCUACAAAAAAGGGAAUGAAAAGGAAUGAAAAGGAAAAAAUAUUCCUCACGAAUGGUAACAUUUUUGAGGAACAUUAAGGAAUGCAGUGUUCCUCUUCGUUCCCUUGAUUACCAUUCAGAGACAAUCAUUACGAAAAUGUAGGUGAAUAUAGUUUAACCACCAUCUGAGUUUUCUUUAAAAACUUAAAUAUGUGGAUUGAAGAAAAAUGGACACAAAAAAUGUGGAUGAGACAAAUGUGGACACGAGUUCAUGUGAGCGAACAAAUGUAAAAUAUCCACUUCAAAUAAUUCGAGUAAUGGUGCACUAAAAAAAGAAUAAUUCGAGUAAUGGACUGGGGUUAGAGUUACAGUUACGUACAUGACAUGUAAGUUAUAAACACUAUUUGAUUUGAUUACAUUUUAUAUGAAUAUGUGUGUCAUCACUGUAUGUGAAAUGAUAGAGGGAUCAUGGCUCAUGGGUAUUUACUGUUAUUUUGCUUCUAAGGCUUCGAAUGGUGACCAUCGUUCCGCUCCGCCCCGCAGUUAACAAUAACAAAAAUCUUUACGUAUACUAUAUAUCUAUAUAUUUUUAUAACUGUUAGAACCGCACCGCAGUUGAACCGCUUGUUCCGCACCGCUCAAACCGCAGUCACCAUUCAGAGCCUAAAUUCACAUAGACAAAUUUUGUCUCUUCUCGUGUCCAAACCAUUUUGUUCUCGUUAUACACUAGACUUUCAUCUAAUCACUGUUCAACAUUUGGAUAUUGUAAAUGCAUAUAUACAUAUAUAUAUAUAUAUCUAUAUAUAUACAUAAUAUACGGUAUGUCAACUUAAAUACAAAUGUCAGUGAUGAUCACAUGUAUAUCAUUUAUGUUGAGUCAUAAAAGCAUUCACUGAUUCUCGACUAUUUUCGCGUAUUACCUGGAAACUAACCGUUCGUACCAAACACUCCUUCCUCUUGCCCGUGGUCUAGAAAAUUUUGCUGUUCUAAGCAAAAUAAUUCUUCUUUAAAAUUCACUAAUUCAAUUGAGUUAGUUAAACUUUUCUUGCAGAUUAUUUAGUUUGUAUUUUUAUUAGAUAAUAUUGUUUGUAAUUUUUAUUAGUGAGUUUUGAUUGAUUUUGAAGAUUAUUAUGCAAAUAUAAUUUUUUUAAUAUUGGAUUCCGAUUUAGGAUUAAAGACAGUGUUAAGGCGUUUAAAGCAUCAUUAACCCAAAGACUCCUUUAAGGUCUUUUAAGUACUUUUUAAAUAGUAAAUGUUAGUUAAGAGACUUAGUUAAAAAAAUUCAACAUUUAUGAGAUCCAAUGCUAGUCUCUUAAUUAAAGAUUCUUAAUAAAAAAAUUAUUAAACAUUUUAGGAUCAUCACAUAUUGGACAAUAACAUUGCACGCCUUUUAUUAUUACCAUAAAGGUUACCAAAAAGGUUACAAAUUAUACAAGAGAAUCCAUAAUAUUUGUGUGGUUUAGCAAAAGAUAGCAUAUACUUAGAUUUAUCUGAGCAAAUCCUCUUAUAGUAAGUUUAGUAGUACCUUUAGGACAUGGGCAAUUGUGCCUUCUGGCUUGGAAGCAUAUGAGACUUGGAACACUGCAUUAUGUCUGUUUGGAUACAUUUAAUGGAUUUUCUUUCACCAAUACCUGCAGUUUUUACAGAUUCUGAGAACCAGUCCUUCAUCUUAGAGCAUGAUUAUCGGGUGAGGAUUUCUAAAUUUUUUUUUGUUUUAUCUGAUUUAAAAAUAAAAAAAUUAAAACGAAACCAAUCGCGGGCCGCCACGUGUCGUGGGGUCCAUAAAAUAGUGUAACAAAUUGGCCAAGAGCGAUCCAUAACUAGCGACUUUGGUAACCAUUUUUUUUAAAAAACGUAGGAUCCACACCCUUAUUUCAUGCAGAAACCCAUUGUGUUCCGCGAUAAAGGUGCUCUUAUCUUUGUCUAACCUCAGUGAAGGAACAUUUAUAACAAAUGUUUUUCUUUAAAUUACCUCAGCUAAUUGUUUCUCAGUCGUCUCCACUCCUUAAAGGGUUUUCAAGAGUGGAGUAAGGUAAUGGUAGACCUUUCUUUAACUAUUGGUUUAUAAGUUGUUCAGUGUGUACCUAAACCAAAUUACAAUUACUUGGUGUUUUUUCUUUGUUUCUUUUUUUUAGACUUUUAUAAGAACGCUGAAAUUAUUAUACUCUCAGACGUCGACAAAACAAUACUCUCAGAUGAACCAUAUAAAGCUACGUGCAUCCCUAUAACUAAGCGACAUUAAAUUAAGAUUGACUCAACAUUCCCCAGUUUGGUACGUGUUUUGGAUAAAGCUAAAAAGUCCAUUUCUUUAUAAGAUUGACUCAACAUUAAAUCUAUAAUUAUCCUUUUAAAAUUCAAUUCAUUUUUCUUCAGGUUUGAUUAUUUACAUAUUAUGUAUCCAAAUACAUUUGUUCAGGUUACAAAUGGUUGAUUGAUACAUAAAUAAGGAAACAUAAAAGAUUAAACAGAGAACAAACUUUCGAAAUAAUAAAUACAAUCUCCGGGGGUGGUAGGUGUGGAGACAACCUCAAAAGAUUUGGUAUUGAGAUCAUGUAGCAUGAGUGGUUCCAAGUAGUUACGACCAUGGAGAUAUAACUUGUUCUUCUCCAGGAUUGCUACGGGUAAGGGUAUGGGACCGUAUCUGUCGAACAAAGGAAAAGUAUUGGUGAGAUCUAUAGAACACAUUUGCUUCCAUGUCUUUGAAGAAGAAUCCAAAGACCAUAUGACUUGCGUUGGCCACGUUUUCUCAGAAGCGCACAAACAGUCAUCAAGGAUGAACAAGACUACGUUACUUGGGCGAGGUGCAUCGGCAAAGGGAGUUUUAC